CAAGUCGAGCGAUGAAACUACUUCGGUAGUGAAUUAGCGGCGAACGGGUGAGGAACACGUGAGGAAUCUGCCUUCAACACUGGGAUAACUCCGGGAAACCGGGGCUAAUACCGGAUAUGAGCUCUGAUCGCAUGGUCGGGGCUGUAAAGUUUUUCGGUUGAAGAUGACCUCGCGGCCUAUCAGCUUGUUGGUGAGGUAAUGGCUCACCAAGGCGACGACGGGUAGCCGGCCUGAGAGGGCGACCGGCCACACUGGGACUGAGACACGGCCCAGACUCCUACGGGAGGCAGCAGUGGGGAAUAUUGGGCAAUGGAGGAAACUCUGACCCAGCGACGCCGCGUGCGGGAUGAAGGCCUUCGGGUUGUAAACCGCUUUCAGUAGGGAAGAAGCGAAAGUGACGGUACCUACAGAAGAAGCACCGGCUAACUAUGUGCCAGCAGCCGCGGUAAUACAUAGGGUGCAAGCGUUGUCCGGAAUUAUUGGGCGUAAAGAGCUCGUAGGUGGUUUGAUACGUCGGGUGUGAAAUUCAGGGGCUCAACCCCUGACCUGCAUUCGAUACGGUCAAGCUAGAGUUUGGUAGGGGAGACUGGAAUUCCUGGUGUAGCGGUGGAAUGCGCAGAUAUCAGGAGGAACACCGAUGGCGAAGGCAGGUCUCUGGGCCAAUACUGACACUGAGGAGCGAAAGCGUGGGGAGCGAACAGGAUUAGAUACCCUGGUAGUCCACGCCGUAAACGGUGGGCGCUAGUUGUGCGAACCUUCCACGGUUUGUGCGACGCAGCUAACGCAUUAAGCGCCCCGCCUGGGGAGUACGAUCGCAAGAUUAAAACUCAAAGGAAUUGACGG
This 843-nucleotide ribosomal RNA is filed under the name uncultured bacterium. RNAcentral's name for it is "bacterial SSU rRNA". It matches the Rfam family "Bacterial small subunit ribosomal RNA", at positions 58 to 916 of the family's 1533-position model. The record is from RNAcentral.